AGUGAACGCUGGCGGUAGGCCUAACACAUGCAAGUCGAACGGCAGCACAGUAAGAGCUUGCUCUUACGGGUGGCGAGUGGCGGACGGGUGAGGAAUACAUCGGAAUCUACUUUUUCGUGGGGGAUAACGUAGGGAAAAUACCGUAAUUACGCCUACCGACCACCGGGUGAAGCAAGGGAACAUUGGGCCUUCCCCGGAUCGAUGGGCCGAUGUCGGAUUAGCUCGUUGGCGGGGUAAAGGGCCACCCAGGCGACGAUCCGUAACUGGUCUGAGAGGAUGAUCAGCCACACUGGAACUGAGACACGGUCCAGACUCCUACGGGAGGCAGCAGUGGGGAAUAUUGGACAAUGGGCGCAAGCCUGAUCCAGCCAUACCGCGUGGGUGAAGAAGGCCUUCGGGUUGUAAAGCCCUUUUGUUGGGAAAGAAAAGCAGCAGGUUAAUACCCCGCUGUUCUGACGGUACCCAAAGAAUAAGCACCGGCUAACUUCGUG
This 491-nucleotide ribosomal RNA is filed under the name uncultured bacterium. RNAcentral's name for it is "partial 16S ribosomal RNA". It matches the Rfam family "Bacterial small subunit ribosomal RNA", at positions 29 to 507 of the family's 1533-position model. The record is from RNAcentral.